Molecule: long non-coding RNA, 234 nt
Filed under: Homo sapiens (human)
Lineage: Eukaryota; Metazoa; Chordata; Mammalia; Primates; Hominidae
Description: non-protein coding lnc-ANAPC11-3:1
Source: RNAcentral
CAGCCUCCCAAAGUGCUGGGAUUACAGGCGUGAGCCACCGCGCCCAGCCGCCCCACUCUUAAAUGGACGGAUUAUCACAGCUUCCACCAGCCACUUCAUCAAAUAUACAACUAAGAGAGGAUCCUCAUGCCUUGCUCCGUGGCAAGGUUAAAAACAACAACAAAAAAACAAACAGAAAAAGGAAUUACACUACAAAGUCAAAACUGCUGAAUCCACGUUUCUCUGAAAACCAGA